AGAUUGAACGCUGGUCGGCGUGCCUAACACAUGCAAGUCGAGCGGUAACGAGGUGUAGCAAUACAUGCUGACGAGACGGCGAACGGGGUGAGUAAUGCUUCGGAAUCUACCCACGGGUGGGGAAUAACCAACCGAAAGGUUGGCUAAUACCGCAUAAGUCCUACGGGGGAAAGCGGGGGAUCGAAAGACCUCGCGCCGGUGGAUGAGCCGAAGCCGGAUUAGCUAGUUGGUAGGGUAAUGGCCUACCAAGGCGACGAUCCGUAGCUGGUCNGAGAGGACGACCAGGCCACGACUGGGACUGAGACACGGCCCAGACUCCUACGGGAGGCAGC
This 332-nucleotide ribosomal RNA is filed under the name uncultured prokaryote. Its description in RNAcentral is "bacterial SSU rRNA". It matches the Rfam family "Bacterial small subunit ribosomal RNA", at positions 26 to 352 of the family's 1533-position model. The record is from RNAcentral.